This 330-nucleotide ribosomal RNA is filed under the name uncultured bacterium. Its description in RNAcentral is "bacterial SSU rRNA". It matches the Rfam family "Bacterial small subunit ribosomal RNA", at positions 568 to 898 of the family's 1533-position model. The record is from RNAcentral.
UCCGUAGGCGGUGCGGCAAGUCGGAAGUGAAAUCUCCGGGCUUAACCCAGAGGCUGCUUCCGAAACUGCCGUGCUAGAGUGCGAGAGAGGCGAGUGGAAUUGCGGGUGUAGCGGUGAAAUGCGUAGAUAUCCGCAGGAACAUCCGAGGCGAAAGCGGCUCGCUGGAUCGCAACUGACGCUGAGGGACGAAAGCUAGGGGAGCAAACAGGAUUAGAUACCCUGGUAGUCCUAGCCCUAAACCAUCAGGACUUGGGGUUUGCCCUGUACGGGGCAAGUCCCGUAGCUAACGCGUUAAGUCCUGCGCCUGGGGAGUACGGUCGCAAGGCUGAA